RNAcentral lists this non-coding RNA (45 nucleotides) under Schistosoma mattheei. The record is from RNAcentral. Lineage: Eukaryota; Metazoa; Platyhelminthes; Trematoda; Strigeidida; Schistosomatidae.
AUCCAGCUGACGAGUCUCGAUUAUGGCGGAACGCGUGUCCUGGAU